UGGCGGCGUGGAUAAGACAUGCAAGUCGAACGGAACUACUUUUAGUAGCAAUACCGAGAGUAGUUUAGUGGCGAACGGGUGCGUAACACGUGGGCAAUCUGCCGAAAAGUGGGGGAUAGCUCGCCGAAAGGCGAAUUAAUACCGCAUGUGAUGAGAGGCGACAUCGUCUUGAAAUCAAAGCCGGGGCAACCUGGCGCUUUUUGAGGAGCCCGCGGCCUAUCAGCUUGUUGGUGAGGUAACGGCUCACCAAGGCUUUGACGGGUAGCUGGUCUGAGAGGACGACCAGUCACACUGGAACUGAGACACGGUCCAGACACCUACGGGUGGCAGCAGUCGAGAAUUUUACGCAAUGGGCGAAAGCCUGACGCAGCAACGCCGCGUGAGUGAUGAAGGCUUUCGGGUCGUAAAGCUCUGUCGAGGGGAAAGAAAUGUAUUGUGGUUAAUACCCGCGAUACUUGACGGUACCCCUAAAGGAAGCACUGGCUAACUCCGUGCCAGCAGCCGCGGUAAUACGGGGGGUGCAAGCGUUGUUCUGAAUUAUUGGGCGUAAAGCGCGUGUAGGCGGUUUGUUAAGUCUGUUGUGAAAGCCCUGGGCUCAACCCAGGAAGUGCACUGGAUACUGGCAGACUUGAAUACGGGAGAGGGUAGUGGAAUUCCUGGUGUAGGAGUGAAAUCCGUAGAUAUCAGGAGGAACACCGGUGGCGAAGGCGGCUACCUGGACCGAUAUUGACGCUGAGACGCGAAAGCGU
Molecule: ribosomal RNA, 749 nt
Filed under: uncultured soil bacterium
Lineage: Bacteria
Description: bacterial SSU rRNA
Rfam family: Bacterial small subunit ribosomal RNA
Source: RNAcentral